GCGCCCAUAGCUUAAUUGGAUAGAGCAUUUGACUACGAAUCAAAAGGUUGAAGGUUCAACUCCUUCUGGGCGCG
This 74-nucleotide transfer RNA is filed under the name Endomicrobium sp. RNAcentral describes it as "tRNA-Arg". It matches the Rfam family "tRNA". Rfam says of the family: Transfer RNA (tRNA) molecules are approximately 80 nucleotides in length. Their secondary structure includes four short double-helical elements and three loops (D, anti-codon, and T loops). The record is from RNAcentral. Lineage: Bacteria; Pseudomonadati; Elusimicrobiota; Endomicrobiia; Endomicrobiales; Endomicrobiaceae.